AGAGUUUGAUCCUGGCUCAGGAUGAACGCUGGCGGCGUGCCUAACACAUGCAAGUCGAGCGAGGAAGAGGAAGCUUGCUUCUAAAUCCUAGCGGCGGACGGGUGAGUAACGCGUGGGCAACCUACCCUAUGCAGGGGGAUAACAUUGGGAAACCAGUGCUAAUACCGCAUAAAGCCGAGAAGGGGCAUCUCUUCAUGGUCAAAGAACUUCGGCAUAGGAUGGGCCCGCGUCUGAUUAGUUAGUUGGUAAGGUAGCGGCUUACCAAGACGAUGAUCAGUAGCCGACCUGAGAGGGUGACCGGCCACACUGGAACUGAGACACGGUCCAGACUCCUACGGGAGGCAGCAGUGGGGAAUAUUGCACAAUGGGGGAAACCCUGAUGCAGCAACGCCGCGUGAGCGAAGAAGGCCUUCGGGUCGUAAAGCUCUGUCCUAAGGGAAGAUAAUGACGGUACCUUAGGAGGAAGCCCCGGCUAACUACGUGCCAGCAGCCGCGGUAAUACGUAGGGGGCAAGCGUUAUCCGGAAUCACUGGGCGUAAAGGGUGCGUAGGCGGCCAAACAAGUCAGGGGUGAAAGGCUACGGCUCAACCGUAGUAAGCCUUUGAAACUGUUUGGCUUGAGUGCAGGAGAGGAGAGUGGAAUUCCUAGUGUAGCGGUGAAAUGCGUAGAUAUUAGGAGGAACACCAGUGGCGAAGGCGACUCUCUGGACUGUAACUGACGCUGAGGCACGAAAGCGUGGGGAACAAACAGGAUUAGAUANNNUGGUAGUCCACGCCGUAAACGAUGAGUGCUAGGUGUUGGANGGAGACCUUCAGUGNCGACGCUAACGCAUUAAGCACUCCGCCUGGGGAGUACGCUCGCAAGANUGAAACUCAAAGGAAUUGACGGGGACCCGCACAAGCAGCGGANCAUGUGGUUUAAUUCGAAGCAACGCGAAGAACCUUACCUGGNCUUGA
RNAcentral lists this ribosomal RNA (956 nucleotides) under uncultured bacterium. RNAcentral's name for it is "bacterial SSU rRNA". It matches the Rfam family "Bacterial small subunit ribosomal RNA", at positions 8 to 984 of the family's 1533-position model. The record is from RNAcentral.